AGUGAACGCUGGCGGUAGGCCUAACACAUGCAAGUCGAACGGCAGCACAGUAAGAGCUUGCUCUUACGGGUGGCGAGUGGCGGACGGGUGAGGAAUACAUCGGAAUCUACUUUUUCGUGGGGGAUAACGUAGGGAAACUUACGCUAAUACCGCAUACGACCUACGGGUGAAAGCAGGGGAUCUUCGGACCUUGCGCGAUUGAAUGAGCCGAUGUCGGAUUAGCUAGUUGGCGGGGUAAAGGCCCACCAAGGCGACGAUCCGUAGCUGGUCUGAGAGGAUGAUCAGCCACACUGGAACUUAGACACGGUCCAGACUCCUACGGGAGGCAGCAGUGGAGAAUAUUGGACAAUGGGCGCAAGCCUGAUCCAGCCAUACCGCGUGGGUGAAGAAGGCCUUCGGGUUGUAAAGCCCUUUUGUUGGGAAAGAAAAGCAGCAGGUUAAUACCCCGCUGUUCUGACGGUACCCAAAGAAUAAGCACCGGCUAACUUCGUG
RNAcentral lists this ribosomal RNA (492 nucleotides) under uncultured bacterium. Its description in RNAcentral is "partial 16S ribosomal RNA". It matches the Rfam family "Bacterial small subunit ribosomal RNA", at positions 29 to 507 of the family's 1533-position model. The record is from RNAcentral.